UAGGGAAUCUUCCACAAUGGACGCAAGUCUGAUGGAGCAACGCCGCGUGAGUGAAGAAGGUUUUCGGAUCGUAAAGCUCUGUUGUUGGUGAAGAAGGAUAGAGGUAGUAACUGGCCUUUAUUUGACGGUAAUCAACCAGAAAGUCACGGCUAACUACGUGCCAGCAGCCGCGGUAAUACGUAGGUGGCAAGCGUUGUCCGGAUUUAUUGGGCGUAAAGCGAGCGCAGGCGGAAGAAUAAGUCUGAUGUGAAAGCCCUCGGCUUAACCGAGGAACUGCAUCGGAAACUGUUUUUCUUGAGUGCAGAAGAGGAGAGUGGAAUUCCAUGUGUUGCGGUGGAAUGCGUAGAUAUAUGGAAGAACACCAGUGGCGAAGGCGACUCUCUGGUCUGCAACUGACGCUGAGGCUCGAAAGCAUGGGUAGCGAACAGG
RNAcentral lists this ribosomal RNA (429 nucleotides) under Bacillota bacterium. Its description in RNAcentral is "Firmicutes bacterium partial 16S ribosomal RNA". It matches the Rfam family "Bacterial small subunit ribosomal RNA", at positions 355 to 776 of the family's 1533-position model. The record is from RNAcentral. Lineage: Bacteria; Bacillati; Bacillota.